This is a long non-coding RNA of Gastrolobium bilobum, 984 nucleotides long. RefSeq lists it as uncharacterized. NCBI's taxonomy places the organism in Eukaryota, Viridiplantae, Streptophyta, Magnoliopsida, Fabales, Fabaceae. The record is from RefSeq and is a predicted model, not a curated record. The transcript has 3 exons.
CUGAAUACUUAUCUCUUCAUUGAGUAACCAGCCAAGCAAUACUCUUCCCCUCACCCUCUUCUCUUGUGCGCUGAAUAGAGUAGAUAAGUUUACUUGUUGGAUUUUGGUUCAGCCUAGUGUUAAACAAUAUAGAUUUCCCUCUUCCCAUGCGCUUGCAAGCGAACAAUCAAGCUGAGUUAUCCUCUUAAUUUAGAACCACCGUGAACCACAUUCCCUCCUUUCCCCAACCGUGGGUGCUCUUAGGAGAGCACCAAGAACCGGGUCUGUAUCCUCUUCCUUUCACCCCUUCCACAAAUCUGUGAAGCCACAUGAGGAGACAAGCAAAUUCAUAACCAUGUUCUCCUCCUCUUUUCUGGUUCAACCGUGGACUCAAUGCAAGGAGGUGAGGCAAUUUUGGUAGCACCUCGCGUCUCACAACUUCGAUCAGUUCCAUUUGAGUUUUUCCCUGUUGCAUGUGUAUAAUGCUGCCGUGAUUGGAUCAUCCCCUCCAUUGCAUGCAACUGAAAUGAUUUGCUUGGAGCCUUGGAGGUGGGAGGCUGCUGUUUCGUAAUGGAUAGGCUAGCGUUCGGUACUGCAAGGAGGUGCGAUUAACUCUUAAGUGAGUGGACUGAAUUUUGGUGAUUCGCUUGAUUAAAAAGUUGGACACACCAAGGUUCUGUUUAAUUGUUGCUGCUGUUUUGGGAAUUUUGAUGAUGACAUGCUGUUUCUGUUGAUUGUUGGCUGAUCACUCUAGUAGGCUGUAAUAUUUUGAGAUGCUGGAAGAAAAUGUUAGAACAUGCCUUAAUCUGUUGUAUUUGGAUUUUUAUAGUUAGUUUGUAAAUUGUAAGAUUCUGGUCAUAUUUUGCAAAAAUAUUUUAUGUACGUUUUGAAUUCUGCCUUUUAAACUGUUUUCGCGAGCACUUUGCGAGUUCCGUUUCUGGGGCUACAGACCUCCGAUUGGAGUAUAAUUUAUAUGCACUUAAAGCCCCAGAUGUCUAGUUUCAU